GUUUUUUAAUCGACAAUCCACGUUAAUUUUCACUUUAAUUAAAAAUCUAUAUACCGCCAUCUAAAAAUUAAUUCAAUGAUGAUAUUUUUAAUAAAAAUUAAAAAGUUAGGUCAAGGUGUAAUCUACAUUAAAGUAAAUAAUGGGUUACAUUAAAAUUAAUUUAAGGAUUAUUUUACAAAAGCAUUUUUUGAAAAAGGAUUUAAAAGUAAUAAUAAAGCAAUAUUUUAUUAUGACUUAGAUAAUAAAUGUGCACACAUCGCCCGUC
RNAcentral lists this ribosomal RNA (265 nucleotides) under Alopecosa inquilina. Its description in RNAcentral is "12S Ribosomal RNA". Lineage: Eukaryota; Metazoa; Arthropoda; Arachnida; Araneae; Lycosidae. The record is from RNAcentral.